UUUGUUCUCAGCUCUGGGUUUUUGCCUUAAAGUCACACAGGAGACACUGUGCCCACACUUCCUCAAAUUAGUCAGCCUGGCUAAGGUUAGGGAGAAACGGAUCAAGCAGGUCCUCAGUAAAACUACAAAGACACUCACAUCAAGAAGAAAGCCUAGAGUUAGCAGAAUGAACAGAAAAGAAAUGGAAGACCGACCUUUAAUGAAUGCCAGUACUUUGAAAGAUACUCAUCUCCUUCUACGUCAUCCAAGAACCAUAGAUCUGGAAAGAUUUCAAGAGGUCCUACGGUUCUUCCAGGAAGAGAUGAAGUAAUAGCAUCACCUAAAAGACGCUUGUUGAGCCUAUUUCUCAGAAUCACCCAGGACAGGGAUUCCACAGGCUCGGGCCUGUCUGAUGGCUGGACUGUGCAUCUUCUGGCAUUUGGAUGAUUCAGUGCUCACUUUAGGCGUAUUUGGACAAUCCCAUCUGUCUCUGCUUUUCUAUUUCCUAUUCCCUCUCCCUGCUUUCGGCUUCGUUUUGCUAUGGUUUCAUAUCAAGUUUAAAUCAUUAAAUGCGUCAGAUUUCCAGGUCUUUGAGCAUUUGGAAGAGAUGGCAUCAUCAGAUCCCACAGAUCUUGAGCUGGAAGGCACCUCAGAGGCCAUUUAGUCCAACCCCUUUGUUUUACAUAUGAGGAAGUUGAGGCCAGGAGAGACCAAGUCACUUAUCCAAGGUCACCCGGAUAGAAAGCAGUGGAGGCACGAUUUGCUCCCAGGUCCUCUGACUCCGGAGCCGGUGCCCUUUCCGUGUCACGCUGUGAAAGCGAAGCUUCUCAAGAAACAUUCUUUUUCCCCCCCUCAGGAAACUUGUUCUUGUAUCAAACACAAAUCUCCAUUAAAUUUUAUCCUAUGA
Molecule: long non-coding RNA, 886 nt
Organism: Trichosurus vulpecula (common brushtail)
Lineage: Eukaryota; Metazoa; Chordata; Mammalia; Diprotodontia; Phalangeridae
Exons: 2
Source: RefSeq, a predicted model, not a curated record